GAGCAGUGAUUCAGAGGGCAUGUCAGUAGGUGAUGGUGAUACCGAUGAAAGAGAGGCUCCUCAUGUUGCACAAAUACAUGCUGGACCACCUGGACCUCACGAAACAAAGAAAAGAGAAGGAAAAAUCUAAGGGGUGGUGAUAACUGUUAAACCUUCCAAAUCGAAUCACACACAGACUGACCAGGACCGGCUGACCAGAUCUUGAGAGUGCAUACGGAAGAAAGUCUGCUGGCAGACUGCGCCGGCGCUGAACCCACCAAGACAUUGGCAGAGCUGUCACCCCUGGUGACAUCUCUCUCCAAGAGAGCCACUUAGAGCAUGGCGUCCCAGUUACCUGGCAUCCUUAACCAAGAUCUCAACAGCACGCCACAACUCAAAGUAGGCAACUCCAUCCUCUGCUUCGAACUGGGUUGAUGUCGGAAUAAUCUUAGUUUCCGACCUAAUAAUUAUAAUUCCUUACCGUUCACAAUAAAUAUGCUACACAUAGCUGAAUUUAUUCUCUUCCCCCAUCGCCCAAUAUCAUUGCUAAUUCAGCUGGUAGAAAUAGGUAUUGUUAGAUAUAGUUUCGUAUUCAUUAUCAUUGUUUAUUGUAUUUCACCUGUGCCUAGAAAAUAAAUCUUAUUAACUUGACCCAGUUGUUGCCCUGUGUUUCCUUGAAGUGGAGAUCGGAGAUCAAUGUAAUCGAGAAAUCACAAUGUUUGAUGUGAGAUUGAUCAACCUAAUCCAUAACUAAUCAAGUUGUCCUCCAUGUGGAUGUCAUGCGGUGAGGUCAAGUUGGGGUUUUGUCCUGUCUCCAUGUCUUGUCAUUUCCUGUUUUAUUUUGAAAAGUAACUCUCCUCUCGUUUCAGGUCACUUGCCCUUCCUCAUGUGUCACCUGUCGGAGUGUCUUCCCUGAUUCCUGAUUGUGUCCACCUGUUUCCCAUUGCCCUCAUGUGUCUUAUAGUCUGCGUCUCCCUUUGUCCUGUGCCAGAGUGUUUCGUUCCGUUCGUGCA
Seriola aureovittata is the source of this 992-nucleotide long non-coding RNA. RefSeq lists it as uncharacterized. The record is from RefSeq and is a predicted model, not a curated record. The transcript is spliced from 3 exons. Lineage: Eukaryota; Metazoa; Chordata; Actinopteri; Carangiformes; Carangidae.